RNA transcript from Ixodes scapularis (black-legged tick), 640 nucleotides. RefSeq lists it as uncharacterized. Lineage: Eukaryota; Metazoa; Arthropoda; Arachnida; Ixodida; Ixodidae. The record is from RefSeq and is a predicted model, not a curated record. The transcript is spliced from 7 exons.
CGUGGAGUGUUUUCGAGGUUUUAGAUAUUUCGGACGGCGUACAAGGUGUCUUGGGACGGCGACGCGAACACUCGAGGAGGCUAUUACGACGCCGAGAUCCUCGAACUGACGGGGCUGUGCAUUCUACAAAGGGCAGCGAUCGGACUGUCCUCUCAUCUCGACAACUUUUCUGUCGCUGUACCAUCAUAACGCUACUGUUCGAUGGGUAAUUCGUUUUCAGGACUACCUGCGGCUCGGCUGUUGAUGCGGGAGGUGCUGUAGGGCCCUACUGCCUAACACAUCCAUGUCGGGCAAGGUGUGCACGUCAACCAGGAAUGCGGGCAACAUGCGGAAAGCAGAGUGCGACUCCAUGUUUUGCAAGAUCACCGCUGCUUCCAUAGGGCUGCUUUUGACUACACCUGAGGGAGAAAGGUACCGCCAGGCUGAAAGGGCAGCCCGGCACCAGAAGAUACGGCGGUACCUGUCAGAAAAGCUGUCCAAUCUCAAGAGAAAUCACUACAAAGGCUCAUCCCUUUGCUGCCUGUCCUCCCCCGAUGCGUGGUCCCACCACGGACUGCCCAUGCUGUUGCAGGUCUGCCAUCGCUUGCACCCCAUGUUGUAGCCUUUUUACCCUUUUCUUAUUAAUUUAGCUUAAUUUAUA